This is a long non-coding RNA of Periophthalmus magnuspinnatus, 246 nucleotides long. RefSeq lists it as uncharacterized. The transcript is spliced from 3 exons. The record is from RefSeq and is a predicted model, not a curated record. NCBI's taxonomy places the organism in Eukaryota, Metazoa, Chordata, Actinopteri, Gobiiformes, Gobiidae.
CCUCUUCCUCUCCCUCAGGUCUGGAGGUGAAAUGUUUAGAUCCUCCCUCUUACCCCCCCAUGUGGUUGUUGUGGCUAGUGCGCCCUCUGCUGGUGUCCAGUCCGUACGCCGUGUGCACUGUGCUGCUGGUGCUGAUCUACAGGGAGCAGCGUCGCACAGGAAGUCCACACCCUGUUUCCAUGGAGACGGGCCAGCAGGAGGAGGAGGAUGAUGACAUCGCCGCUGAGGUCACCACCGAGCACAGCU